This 599-nucleotide ribosomal RNA is filed under the name uncultured bacterium. RNAcentral describes it as "bacterial SSU rRNA". The stretch from base 1 to 531 matches the Rfam family "Bacterial small subunit ribosomal RNA", at positions 338 to 873 of the family's 1533-position model. The record is from RNAcentral.
CCUACGGGAGGCAGCAGUAAGGAAUAUUGGACAAUGCUCGCAAGAGUGAUCCAGCCAUGCCGCGUGCAGGAAGAAUGCCCUAUGGGUAGUAAACUGCUUUUGAACUAGAGAAAAUCCCAGUACGUGUACUGGGCUGAUAGUAUAGUUAGAAUAAGCAUCGGCUAACUUCGUGCCAGCAGCCGCGGUAAGACGAAGGAUGCAAGCGUUAUCCGGAUUCAUUGGGUUUAAAGGGAGCGUAGGUGGACUGAUAAGUCAGUGGUGAAAUCUCCGAGCUUAACUCGGAAAUUGCCAUUGAUACUGUUGGUCUUGAGUACAGUUGCUGUGGGCGGAAUAUGACAUGUAGUGGUGAAAUACAUAGAGAUGUCAUAGAACACCGAUUGCGAAGGCAGCUCACAAAGCUGUAACUGACACUGAGGCUCGAAAGUGCGGGGAUCAAACAGGAUUAGAUACCCUGGUAGUCCGCACCGUAAACGAUGAUUACUCGCUGCUAGGGGGCAACCUUUAGUGGCUUAGNGAAGNGANAGANACACGNGGAGACGCGCGACGAGACGACGAAGAAGUAGAGGNGNGAGAGNGCGAGGACGACACGAGGGAGGAGG